This 387-nucleotide ribosomal RNA is filed under the name uncultured bacterium. RNAcentral describes it as "bacterial SSU rRNA". It matches the Rfam family "Bacterial small subunit ribosomal RNA", at positions 30 to 417 of the family's 1533-position model. The record is from RNAcentral.
AUUGAACGCUGGCGGCAGGCCUAACACAUGCAAGUCGAGCGGUAGAGAGAAGCUUGCUUCUCUUGAGAGCGGCGGACGGGUGAGUAAUGCCUAGGAAUCUGCUUGGUAGUGGGGGAUAACGUUCGGAAACGAACGCUAAUACCGCAUACGUCCUACGGGAGAAAGCAGGGGACCUUCGGGCCUUGCGCUAUCAGAUGAGCCUAGGUCGGAUUAGCUAGUUGGUGAGGUAAUGGCUCACCAAGGCGACGAUCCGUAACUGGUCUGAGAGGAUGAUCAGUCACACUGGAACUGAGACACGGCCCAGACUCCUACGGGAGGCAGCAGUGGGGAAUUUUGGACAAUGGGCGCAAGCCUGAUCCAGCAAUGCCGCGUGCAGGAUGAAGGCCU